GGAUGUAUAGUUCAGACGGUAGAACAGCUAGAGCUUAGAACUUAGCAUGUCGUUGGUUCGGUUCCUUCUACAUCCA
This 76-nucleotide transfer RNA is filed under the name Coprobacillus sp. OF03-2AA. Its description in RNAcentral is "tRNA-Leu". It matches the Rfam family "tRNA". Rfam says of the family: Transfer RNA (tRNA) molecules are approximately 80 nucleotides in length. Their secondary structure includes four short double-helical elements and three loops (D, anti-codon, and T loops). Lineage: Bacteria; Bacillati; Bacillota; Erysipelotrichia; Erysipelotrichales; Coprobacillaceae. The record is from RNAcentral.